UACAGAGGUCUCAAGCGUUGUUCGGAUUUAUUGGGCGUAAAGGGCGCGUAGGCGGCGGGGUAAGUCGGGUGUGAAAUCUCGGAGCUUAACUCCGAAACUGCAUUCGAUACUGCCGUGCUUGAGGACUGGAGAGGAGACUGGAAUUUACGGUGUAGCGGUGAAAUGCGUAGAUAUCGUAAGGAAGACCAGUGGCGAAGGCGGGUCUCUGGACAGUUCCUGACGCUGAGGCACGAAGGCCAGGGGAGCAAACGGG
RNAcentral lists this ribosomal RNA (253 nucleotides) under uncultured bacterium. RNAcentral describes it as "partial 16S ribosomal RNA". It matches the Rfam family "Bacterial small subunit ribosomal RNA", at positions 524 to 776 of the family's 1533-position model. The record is from RNAcentral.